UCGUGGACUAAUUUGUCUGGUUAAUUCCGUUAACGAACGAGACCUUAACUUGCUAAUUGGGGUCUAUUAAUCUAUAAUAUACCCUGUUAGAAGGACCAUGUGGUUCCAACCCCAAGGAAGCGUGAGGCAAUAACA
RNAcentral lists this ribosomal RNA (135 nucleotides) under uncultured eukaryote. Its description in RNAcentral is "partial 18S ribosomal RNA". It matches the Rfam family "Eukaryotic small subunit ribosomal RNA", at positions 1299 to 1458 of the family's 1831-position model. The record is from RNAcentral.